This 484-nucleotide ribosomal RNA is filed under the name uncultured bacterium. Its description in RNAcentral is "partial 16S ribosomal RNA". It matches the Rfam family "Bacterial small subunit ribosomal RNA", at positions 28 to 523 of the family's 1533-position model. The record is from RNAcentral.
GACGAACGCUGGCGGCGUGCUUAACACAUGCAAGUCGAACGAUGAAGCUAGAGCUUGCUCUGGUGGAUUAGUGGCGAACGGGUGAGUAACACGUGAGUAACCUGCCCCGGACUCUGGGAUAACUGCUGGAAACGGUAGCUAAUACCGGAUAUGACCAAUGAAGGCAUCUUCUGUUGGUGGAAAGAAUUUCGGUUCGGGAUGGACUCGCGGCCUAUCAGCUUGUUGGUGAGGUAACGGCUCACCAAGGCGACGACGGGUAGCCGGCCUGAGAGGGUGAUCGGCCACACUGGGACUGAGACACGGCCCAGACUCCUACGGGAGGCAGCAGUGGGGAAUAUUGCACAAUGGGCGCAAGCCUGAUGCAGCAACGCCGCGUGAGGGACGACGGCCUUCGGGUUGUAAACCUCUUUUGGUAGGGAAGAAGCGAAAGUGACGGUACCUGCAGAAAAAGCACCGGCUAACUACGUGCCAGCCGCCGCGGUAA